GACCAAGUGCUGCUCCUAUCUUACAGUUAAUCCUUGACAAGUAUGGAGAUAUAGCAGCAAACUGUCGGUUAGAAUCAACUUCCUUGCGUGCUUAUUAUCUUGAAUGCCUUUGCACUGUGGUUCAAGAGUUGCAAUCCACAUCUCUUAAUCAGCUAACAAAAUCCAAAGUGAAAGAAUUUUUGGCUGUUCUUAAGGAUGUAGAGUCUGCACAAAUUGAUGU
Molecule: unclassified non-coding RNA, 220 nt
Filed under: Hevea brasiliensis (rubber tree)
Lineage: Eukaryota; Viridiplantae; Streptophyta; Magnoliopsida; Malpighiales; Euphorbiaceae
Source: RNAcentral